RNAcentral lists this ribosomal RNA (833 nucleotides) under uncultured bacterium. RNAcentral describes it as "bacterial SSU rRNA". It matches the Rfam family "Bacterial small subunit ribosomal RNA", at positions 56 to 916 of the family's 1533-position model. The record is from RNAcentral.
UGCAAGUCGAACGAGGGAGCAAUCUCUAGUGGCGAACGGCGGAGUAAUACAUGAACAACGUGCCCUGAAGUCUGGGACAAACGCAGAAAUGCCAUAAAUACCAGAUGUGGCGAAGAGGUGGCAUCACCCUUUCGUUAAACGGUUUUUCGCUUCAGGAGCGGUUCAUGGCCUAUCAGGUAGUUGGUGGGGUAAUGGCCUACCAAGCCGACGACAGGUAGCGGGUCUGAGAGGAUGAUCCGCUCGAGUGGGACUGAGACACGGCCCACACACCUACGGGUGGCAGCAGUUGGGAAUCUUGCACAAUGGGGGAAACCCUGAUGCAGCGACGCCGCGUGGAGGAUGAAGGAUCUAGGUCUGUAAACUCCUUUUAUCGGGAAAGACUUAGGACGGUACCCGAUGAAUAAGGACCGGCUAACUACGUGCCAGCAGCCGCGGUAAGACGUAGGGUCCAAGCGUUGUCCGGAUUUACUGGGCGUAAAGAGCGCGUAGGCGGUCUGUUAAGUGAGAAGUGAAAGCUCCGGGCUCAACUCGGAAACUGCUUUUCAUACUGGCAGACUGGAGGGAUGUAGAGGUAUGUGGAAUUCCUGGUGUAGCGGUGAAAUGCGUUGAUAUCAGGAGGAACACCCAUGGCGAAGGCAGCAUACUGGGCAUCAUCUGACGCUGAGGCGCGAAAGCGUGGGUAGCAAACAGGAUUAGAUACCCUGGUAGUCCACGCCCUAAACGAUGGAUACUAGGCGUAAGGGGUAUCGACCCCCCUUGUGCCGCAGCUAACGCACUAAGUAUCCCGCCUGGGGAGUACNGGCCGCAAGGUUGAAACUCAAAGGAAUUGACGG